RNAcentral lists this long non-coding RNA (557 nucleotides) under Ananas comosus (pineapple). Its description in RNAcentral is "long non-coding RNA (ACOM_LNC044163)". Lineage: Eukaryota; Viridiplantae; Streptophyta; Magnoliopsida; Poales; Bromeliaceae. The record is from RNAcentral.
UGACACUUGGAGACCAAGUUUCCUAUGAAACUUGGAGGCCAAGUUUCCUAUAUAUAUAUAUAGGGGACUUGAGCCUUUUCUUUCUUUCUCCCUCACACUUGCAACCAAAGAGAAAUAUCUCUCUCUCUAACAAUUUCUCCACCAAAGAGAGGAAUUGGAGGUGCAUUUGGAGAAGAAAAAGGUUGCUUGGAGGUGAAGUCUUCAUCCUCUUCAUUACUGGGUUUGAGGAAAAGCUUGCGUUUGAGGUGCCUAAACACGUGUGAAGCGUCGGUUCGUCGAUUCGUCGAGCAGGUGCGACCGAAGAGUAAAGCGGCGACUAGGGAAGUGCAAUUGAGAACCUAGCCUCGUGAUAGCGGUAAAAGGUGGGGGGUGUCAUACCGAAACAUCCGGGCUUCCUUUUAUGUCUAAGUUUUAUUUUGAUCAUAUUCAUAUAUUGAUAUUGUGCAUUAUAGGAUUAGUAGAUGAUUACAUUCCAUUUCCUUACAUGUUUCCUAUGGUAGUGUAGCAUUAUGGGCUUGACACUUGAACUUAGGUUGCAUGAGGAUUGGGUCAUGUGA